Molecule: long non-coding RNA, 2407 nt
Organism: Strigops habroptila (Kakapo)
Lineage: Eukaryota; Metazoa; Chordata; Aves; Psittaciformes; Psittacidae
Source: Ensembl
AAAGAAAAAGAUUUCUCCCCUCCCAGUAACUAGGGUGCACUUUACAAAAUAAAGGCAUUGUUAAAAUGAAAUCACACUUCAGUAUUGCCAUUUCCAUGUCCAUCUUGAUUUCCUGGGCUGGAAUUUUUCAAGUGGGGGUGAGAGAAGACCUUUUUACUUUGGUGGCAGGGAAGGGAGGCUACUAGAAAUAUAAAGUAUUAUUCCUGUAUUAGCAUGCACUGAAAAGUGCAGGCUGGCUAACUGCUCCUCAGCUUAUAAGAAAAGUGAAUAUAUUUAUCUCCAUAGUUCUGUUGCAGUGUUUCUGUUAGAACAGGAGGUUGUUUCUGGGGUGUGUUGGCUUGCUUUCAGGGCAGUUAACCUGGGAAUAUCCCCUUCCAAUGUAGUAAAAGUCUUGGGACUGUUUCAUAUGCCUGACCAUAGCAAACUAAACUGCCUGCUAAGCCUUAACCUGGCAGCGCAAAGCACAGCAGAGCAAAAAUUGUUUUGAACUUCUUAAAAAAAAAAAAAAAAAAAGAAAAUCAAAAUUAUUUAUUUCUUUAAAGCUUUAUUCUAGAGCAUUUGUGACAAGCAUGUGCCGAUCUGUGCUACAGCAGCCUAGCAAAAUGCUGGUCACCAGGAUUGGGAAAAACCUUUGGCCCUGGGAGGAGGAGGGAGUUUGCGUGUGAGUCCUGCUCUUGGGCAGUGGAGAAGCCCCAUUGCCUGGGGUGGGGUUUGCAGCUUCAGCUUUGAUUGUAAAUCAUGAGCAGUGCUGGAUGGUUAAAACUUAAAUGAGUGUGCCCAAUAUGUGGGAAUAUCCGUACUGAUUUAACCUCAGUAAUUGAACUUGGUUAAUUAGUGCCAGGUCUUGAACAUCCAAGACCCACCUAAAUAUAUGCUGCUAUGGUAUAGACUUCUCAGAGGGAUCUGAAACUCCAAAGACUGACAAAGUGGUAAUGGUCAGCCCUGUUCGAGGACGUACACAGUUUAAAUUGUAAUUUAUGUGCAUUAAAUGGGACUAAAUAUGCUAGCUUAUUUUCCCAGGGACAUUUGUUUGUUAUUUGGAUACAUUCCUUUAACUAUGUUAAAAAGUUCUCCUGACUGAUGGAUUGCAAAUUUUCAUUAAUCCCUUGUAACCUCUUGUCUGUUUGCUAGGAUGGGUACAUGUAGCCAUUUUAAAUUCCAAGAGUUGCUUUUAAUGUUAUUUGGAAGCGGUUUAUAACAAAAAUGUUGAGUCUUUUUUCGUGCAGCCAUUUGGGAAUUACAGCCAACCCCACAGUCUACAGCUUGGCUGUUGACCCAGAAAACUGCAGUGAAGUGGAAGUGCAGAAGUCUGGAGAAGGAUAACAUUAAGUAUCUUGCAUUGGACUCACAAAUUCCAUUUCUUUUCCUUAGAAUUGAAAGGAUCAGCUAAGAAAGAAAAAAAAAAAAAUCUAAAAUGCAUUCAUGUUUUUGCUUUCACUUGUUUCCUUUGUAGUACUUGUGCAAUCUGAGCCAUUCGUAAAAAACAAAAGCAGUGCUGACUUAAUGCACAAGGGCGCAUUUGUAAAAUGUAAAAUUGACUGACGGCCAGAUGUCAACUAUCAUGCACUUCCCCCCCCCUCUUAAUUUUAGUGCAGAGAGAGGGUGGGCAGUGAGUGCUGCCCAGAAUGCAGCCUUAGUCAGUACUUGCGUCUAUUUGCAAAGCCAACUUUGAAGGGGAUAUUCGCAGCAGAGUCAGCGAUACUCUGCAGAAGCACACUUCUGUAACAAUAGAUGAAAAACACCUAUGGCACAACUGUCAACAUACGGCUGGAAAGCUCCACGUCCUCCUGCUCAGACUGAAGCGUCUUCUGCACCCCGCACCGGCUGCUCUUCUCCAGCGGCUGCAGGCAAGGUAGACGAGCAUUCUCUGCAGUGUUGCAACUGGUAACACCUAUUGCUUUUCUUCACAUCAGAGCACAUUCGCUAUGGAUCCAGUCAACUUGCCAUGUUUUUUUAACACGCCAGUCUUGUUUACAGUGUCACAUACAGCCAGGCACUUUGAUACAGCGAGGGAUUGUCUAGGACCCAGCUGCUUUUAUUUGGGCUUAAGGAGACUGUCAAGGCUACUGGUCAAGAAUAUUGCUGUGCUGAUAUGUGCAUCUAAGUGAGUGGAGGCAUGGGACAGAGACAGACUGACAAGGAAAGUGCCUUGAUGCUGGAUUGAAUGGCUAGUGAAUGUAAACAGUAAGUCAAAUGUUAGUAUGUAGUUUAAGUAUGGCUGAUUAAGCUACUGGUAGUUUGAAUGCCAGCUUUAAAAGGCUUGCAUACUCCGGCCAGAAGUUAAACUUGUAAACUGCUGCAUAAGCUGUCUCUGUAUGGAAAUGCGUUUUAAUACCAGUACACUAUGUUAAUUCUUUUGCAAGCUGCAUGUUUAUUGUCAUAUAAAGUCUGCUUUCUACAAUUUACC